This 1684-nucleotide ribosomal RNA is filed under the name Escherichia coli. RNAcentral describes it as "partial 23S ribosomal RNA". It matches the Rfam family "Bacterial large subunit ribosomal RNA", at positions 1261 to 2925 of the family's 2925-position model. The record is from RNAcentral. Lineage: Bacteria; Pseudomonadati; Pseudomonadota; Gammaproteobacteria; Enterobacterales; Enterobacteriaceae.
CUGUGAGGCAUGCUGGAGGUAUCAGAAGUGCGAAUGCUGACAUAAGUAACGAUAAAGCGGGUGAAAAGCCCGCUCGCCGGAAGACCAAGGGUUCCUGUCCAACGUUAAUCGGGGCAGGGUGAGUCGACCCCUAAGGCGAGGCCGAAAGGCGUAGUCGAUGGGAAACAGGUUAAUAUUCCUGUACUUGGUGUUACUGCGAAGGGGGGACGGAGAAGGCUAUGUUGGCCGGGCAACGGUUGUCCCGGUUUAAGCGUGUAGGCUGGUUUUCCAGGCAAAUCCGGAAAAUCAAGGCUGAGGCGUGAUGACGAGGCACUACGGUGCUGAAGCAACAAAUGCCCUGCUUCCAGGAAAAGCCUCUAAGCAUCAGGUAACAUCAAAUCGUACCCCAAACCGACACAGGUGGUCAGGUAGAGAAUACCAAGGCGCUUGAGAGAACUCGGGUGAAGGAACUAGGCAAAAUGGUGCCGUAACUUCGGGAGAAGGCACGCUGAUAUGUAGGUGAAGUCCCUCGCGGAUGGAGCUGAAAUCAGUCGAAGAUACCAGCUGGCUGCAACUGUUUAUUAAAAACACAGCACUGUGCAAACACGAAAGUGGACGUAUACGGUGUGACGCCUGCCCGGUGCCGGAAGGUUAAUUGAUGGGGUCAGCGCAAGCGAAGCUCUUGAUCGAAGCCCCGGUAAACGGCGGCCGUAACUAUAACGGUCCUAAGGUAGCGAAAUUCCUUGUCGGGUAAGUUCCGACCUGCACGAAUGGCGUAAUGAUGGCCAGGCUGUCUCCACCCGAGACUCAGUGAAAUUGAACUCGCUGUGAAGAUGCAGUGUACCCGCGGCAAGACGGAAAGACCCCGUGAACCUUUACUAUAGCUUGACACUGAACAUUGAGCCUUGAUGUGUAGGAUAGGUGGGAGGCUUUGAAGUGUGGACGCCAGUCUGCAUGGAGCCGACCUUGAAAUACCACCCUUUAAUGUUUGAUGUUCUAACGUGGACCCGUGAUCCGGGUUGCGGACAGUGUCUGGUGGGUAGUUUGACUGGGGCGGUCUCCUCCUAAAGAGUAACGGAGGAGCACGAAGGUUGGCUAAUCCUGGUCGGACAUCAGGAGGUUAGUGCAAUGGCAUAAGCCAGCUUGACUGCGAGCGUGACGGCGCGAGCAGGUGCGAAAGCAGGUCAUAGUGAUCCGGUGGUUCUGAAUGGAAGGGCCAUCGCUCAACGGAUAAAAGGUACUCCGGGGAUAACAGGCUGAUACCGCCCAAGAGUUCAUAUCGACGGCGGUGUUUGGCACCUCGAUGUCGGCUCAUCACAUCCUGGGGCUGAAGUAGGUCCCAAGGGUAUGGCUGUUCGCCAUUUAAAGUGGUACGCGAGCUGGGUUUAGAACGUCGUGAGACAGUUCGGUCCCUAUCUGCCGUGGGCGCUGGAGAACUGAGGGGGGCUGCUCCUAGUACGAGAGGACCGGAGUGGACGCAUCACUGGUGUUCGGGUUGUCAUGCCAAUGGCACUGCCCGGUAGCUAAAUGCGGAAGAGAUAAGUGCUGAAAGCAUCUAAGCACGAAACUUGCCCCGAGAUGAGUUCUCCCUGACCCUUUAAGGGUCCUGAAGGAACGUUGAAGACGACGACGUUGAUAGGCCGGGUGUGUAAGCGCAGCGAUGCGUUGAGCUAACCGGUACUAAUGAACCGUGAGGCUUAACCUU